RNAcentral lists this ribosomal RNA (253 nucleotides) under uncultured bacterium. Its description in RNAcentral is "partial 16S ribosomal RNA". It matches the Rfam family "Bacterial small subunit ribosomal RNA", at positions 524 to 776 of the family's 1533-position model. The record is from RNAcentral.
GACGUAGGGCGCGAGCGUUGUCCGGAAUUAUUGGGCGUAAAGAGCUCGUAGGCGGUCUGUCGCGUCGGAUGUGAAAACUCGGGGCUCAACCCCGAGCCUGCAUUCGAUACGGGCAGACUAGAGUUCGGUAGGGGAGACUGGAAUUCCUGGUGUAGCGGUGAAAUGCGCAGAUAUCAGGAGGAACACCGGUGGCGAAGGCGGGUCUCUGGGCCGAUACUGACGCUGAGGAGCGAAAGCGUGGGGAGCAAACAGG